RNAcentral lists this ribosomal RNA (459 nucleotides) under uncultured bacterium. RNAcentral describes it as "partial 16S ribosomal RNA". It matches the Rfam family "Bacterial small subunit ribosomal RNA", at positions 338 to 795 of the family's 1533-position model. The record is from RNAcentral.
CCUACGGGUGGCAGCAGUGAGGAAUAUUGGUCAAUGGGCGCGAGCCUGAACCAGCCAAGUCGCGUGAGGGAAGACGGUCCUAUGGAUUGUAAACCUCUUUUGUCGGGGAGCAAAAGACGCCACGCGUGGCGUUCCGAGAGUACCCGAAGAAAAAGCAACGGCCAACCCCGUGCCAGCAGACGCGGUAAUACGGAGGAGGGGAGCGUUAUCCUGAUUUAUUGGGGUUAAAGGGUUCGCAGGCGGAAGAUCAAGUUAGCGGUAAAAUUGAGAGGUUCAACCUCUCCGAGCCGUUGAAACUGGUGUUCUUGAGUGAGUGAGAAGUAUGCGGAAUGCGUGGUGUAGCGGUGAAAUGCAUAGAUAUCACGCAGAACUCCGAUUGCGAAGGCAGCAUACCGGCGCUCAACUGACGCUCAUGCACGAAAGUGUGGGUAUCGAACAGGAUUAGAUACCCGAGUAGUC